CGCCCGACCUCCAACCCUUUGUUGUUAAAACUACCUUGUUGCUUUGGCGGGACCGCUCGGUCUCGAGCCGCUGGGGAUUCGUCCCAGGCGAGCGCCCGCCAGAGUUAAACCAAACUCUUGUUAUUAAACCGGUCGUCUGAGUUAAAAUUUUGAAUAAAUCAAAACUUUCAACAACGGAUCUCUUGGUUCUCGCAUCGAUGAAGAACGCAGCGAAAUGCGAUAAGUAAUGUGAAUUGCAGAAUUCAGUGAAUCAUCGAAUCUUUGAACGCACAUUGCGCCCCUUGGUAUUCCGAGGGGCAUGCCUGUUCGAGCGUCAUUACACCACUCAAGCUAUGCUUGGUAUUGGGUGCCGUCCUUAGUUGGGCGCGCCUUAAAGACCUCGGCGAGGCCUCACCGGCUUUAGGCGUAGUAGAAUUUAUUCGAACGUCUGUCAAAGGAGAGGACUUCUGCCGACUGAAACCUUUAUUUUUCUAGGUUGACCUCGGAUCAGGUAGGGAUACCCGCUGAACUUAAGCAUAUCAAUAGCCGGGAGGAAAAGA
This 539-nucleotide ribosomal RNA is filed under the name Aureobasidium sp. 35L-2-9A. RNAcentral describes it as "eukaryotic LSU rRNA". The stretch from base 163 to 316 matches the Rfam family "5.8S ribosomal RNA". The record is from RNAcentral. Lineage: Eukaryota; Fungi; Ascomycota; Dothideomycetes; Dothideales; Saccotheciaceae.